RNAcentral lists this transfer RNA (74 nucleotides) under Planctomycetaceae bacterium SCGC AG-212-F19. It matches the Rfam family "tRNA". From Rfam's summary of the family: Transfer RNA (tRNA) molecules are approximately 80 nucleotides in length. Lineage: Bacteria; Pseudomonadati; Planctomycetota; Planctomycetia; Planctomycetales; Planctomycetaceae. The record is from Rfam by way of RNAcentral.
GGCCCGCUAGCUCAAUCGCGGAGAGCGGCGGUCUUAUACACCGCAGGUUCGGGGUUCAAAUCCCCGGCGGGCUA